Molecule: ribosomal RNA, 384 nt
Filed under: Acanthamoeba sp. MMN-2011/T4
Lineage: Eukaryota; Discosea; Longamoebia; Acanthamoebidae
Description: SSU rRNA
Rfam family: Eukaryotic small subunit ribosomal RNA
Source: RNAcentral
CCGAAUACAUUAGCAUGGGAUAAUGGAAUAGGACCCUGUCCUCCUAUUUUCAGUUGGUUUUGGCAGCGCGAGGACUAGGGUAAUGAUUAAUAGGGAUAGUUGGGGGCAUUAAUAUUUAAUUGUCAGAGGUGAAAUUCUUGGAUUUAUGAAAGAUUAACUUCUGCGAAAGCAUCUGCCAAGGAUGUUUUCAUUAAUCAAGAACGAAAGUUAGGGGAUCGAAGACGAUCAGAUACCGUCGUAGUCUUAACCAUAAACGAUGCCGACCAGCGAUUAGGAGACGUUGAAUACAAAACACCACCAUCGGUGCGGUCGUCCUUGGCGGUUGGUCUUCAAAAGCCAGCGGCGGGGGUGGCUUAGCCCGGUGGCACCGGUGAAUGACUCCCU